RNA transcript from Canis lupus familiaris (dog), 1984 nucleotides. RefSeq lists it as uncharacterized. The transcript is spliced from 8 exons. Lineage: Eukaryota; Metazoa; Chordata; Mammalia; Carnivora; Canidae. The record is from RefSeq and is a predicted model, not a curated record.
UCACAGACCCCUCCUCUCCUCCAGUGCUCAGCCUGGUGGCUGGGGUGAUCCCAACCCUACCCCCUGGCUCCAGCCUAAGGCAGACAGCACGUGGAAUCCCUCUGCCAGGUGCCGUAGAUCAGGGAUGGGCUCCUAACUCAAGUCAAGCAAAUGGGAUACCAAGAUUUUGAGAAUAGUUCAUUUCUCUUCCACAGGAGCCCCCAGAGGGCCCGUAUCCAGCCAAUACAUCCAGUUACACCCUCCAGAGGAACUGGGAGAGGACACUGAGGAUCAUCCAUAGAGGACCAGCUCAAGUCAUUAAAUACUCAGGAACCUUCCGGCAAAUGUCAGACUUGCCAGCAGGGAAGCCGAGGUGGCAGGAUGUCUGCCUACAGUCUCCGUCUUACAUGUGGCAGCCCUGAGCUGGAGAAAGCCCUCAUUGAUUCUCUCCCCUUGCCUUCCAGCCUCGUUUCCUGGCAUCCUCCUCACUUCCCCCGCUCUCCUGAUGGUUCUAUUUAUCCACAUACAGAUAGCUAACAUGCGUUGAAUGUUUCACCCACGUUACUUCACUUUACCCUGGUGCGGCAUUAUUCAUAAGCCAAACAGCGAGAGCAACCCCGUGUCCGUCACCUGGUGAAUGGAUACCUGAAAUGCGGUAUGUCCACACCACAGAAUAUUACUUGGUCACACAAAGGAGUGAAGAACCAGCAACACAACCUAGGUGAAUCUGGAAACAUGACGCUGAAGAAAAGAAGCCAGACACAAAGCCCAUGUACUGUAGGAUUCCACGCGUACGGACUGCCCCGAGUAGAGCAGCCUGAUGUUCACCAUGGAUCCUGGUGCCUGGAUUCCAGCUGAGCCCAUGGUCCCAGCUGCCUGACUACUGCCAGUUAUGUCAUCUGUGUCCUCUGUUUCUCACCCGUAAAAUGGGAUGAUAAUAGCACCUCCCUCACUGGAGUUCAUGGAGUGAAUAUUCAUGAAGCUCUGAGAUGGGCGCCUGGCACAUAGGCAGGUCCAUAAAAGUUUGGUAAUUUAAAUAAAUAAGAUAGUACUCACUAGAUGAUUCUUCUCUGCCUGGGGAGGGAGCCCAGCAAGUCAGAUCUGCUUUCUGCUCUGCAAAGCUCUCGCCCCUCGCCUGGCUCCAUCCAGCAAGUAAUUGCUCCUGAGGCUUCAUUCCAAAUGGGCCAUAAAUCAGAGGCCAGGGGCUCCUGUUACCAGCGGCUGGCGGUGAGGUCCCUCCCUGGGGUAAUUGGAAGCAGAUGUUGCCAGCCGUCUGGCCUCCAGGGGCCUGUGUACCUGGGCUGCUCGCGUCACAGCAGUUGAGGCAAGAAUUUCCAUGAGCCCUGAAAGGUUGUCAAAGAAACGGCCUCCUAGGGCUUCCAGAUGUUCAGCGGCUUGUUUCAAGCAGGAGUCAUAGAAAUUCCGGUCACAGCCAAGAUUUCAUCAGCCGUGGUCAGUGGGAAGGAGGGAGUCCGGGCGCCUACAGGUCGAGGUCCUUGGACAAGCUGUGUCCUCCUGACGGGGCCCGUGUCCUGUGCUGUCACACGCGCCCUGUGCCCAGACGGACCCCGCCUUGGGUGGAAGCUCUGCUGUGGCCGUGGUGAAAUGCUUCAUCUGUUCAGAACAAGGGCACUGUAUUUUCAUUCUGCACUGGGCCCCAUAAGUCACGAGGCCCCAUCCUGCUCUCUCAACUCCAUUUUCGCAUCUGUAAACCGGCAGUAGCAGCACCCUCCGUCCGCAGGGCCCCGCGAGGGUUACAGACCCACCCGGGGGCUGACGAUGCUCACCCAGCACCGCCCGUACCUGCGUGGCCAUCCCAGCAGCUCAAAUAAACAGUGGCUGCAAUCGCUUUCAGAACCCAUCUCAGAAGGAAGUCUUUAACUGCAGUCCUGAGACCAUGACUCGAAGUUUCCGGAACCUUUGAAAUUCUCACUGUUUAUUAUGUUUGUUACUCCCAUCUGUUUCCUGCAGCAGUGAACUCUUUUAAAUGAAAGGCCUGUGGACG